RNAcentral lists this small RNA (89 nucleotides) under Mus pahari (shrew mouse). RNAcentral's name for it is "predicted gene, 24629 (MGP_PahariEiJ_G0008190.1)". Lineage: Eukaryota; Metazoa; Chordata; Mammalia; Rodentia; Muridae. The record is from RNAcentral.
CACCGAUCCAAUGGAAAUGGGUUGUCAGUGCUGAUAUGCAUGUCCCUAAGGUUGUACACGGCUCCCACUACCAAAUUUGACUGGUUUUG